UGGGGAAUUGUUCGCAAUGGGCGCAAGCCUGACGACGCCACGCCGCGUGGAGGAUGAAGAUCUUCGGGUCGUAAACUCCUUUCGAUCGAGACGAAUGGCCCUUGGGCUAACAUCCUGAGGGAAUGACGGUACCGAGAGAAGAAGCCCCGGCUAACUCCGUGCCAGCAGCCGCGGUAAAACGUAGGUGGCGAGCGUUAUCCGGAUUUACUGGGCGUAAAGAGCUCGUAGGCGGCUUGUCGCGUCGUCCGUGAAAACUGAGGGCUCAACCCUCAGCUUGCGGUCGAUACGGGCAGGCUGGAGUUCGGUAGGGGAGACUGGAAUUCCUGGUGUAGCGGUGAAAUGCGCAGAUAUCAGGAGGAACACCGGUGGCGAAGGCGGGUCUCUGGGCCGAUACUGACGCUGAGGAGCGAAAGCGUGGGGAGCGAAC
RNAcentral lists this ribosomal RNA (427 nucleotides) under uncultured bacterium. Its description in RNAcentral is "bacterial SSU rRNA". It matches the Rfam family "Bacterial small subunit ribosomal RNA", at positions 355 to 773 of the family's 1533-position model. The record is from RNAcentral.